Molecule: long non-coding RNA, 37224 nt
Filed under: Citrus sinensis (sweet orange)
Lineage: Eukaryota; Viridiplantae; Streptophyta; Magnoliopsida; Sapindales; Rutaceae
Description: long non-coding RNA (CSIN_LNC004355)
Source: RNAcentral
AAGUAAGUAGCACUGCUUGAUUUACCAGAGCAACUUUGUGAUUUUCAUUCUUUAACUGAUUAAGGUUUAUUUAUUCAUAAAUUAAAUUGGAAGUUUCGAAAAAUGUGACCUUUGUAUUGAAUCUGCUUCGAACUAAUGCAAUUUUUAUCUACCUGAUUGUAACUUAAAAUGAACUAUUUCUAUUUGCUCAAUUUUUGACAUUUUAUAUGCAUACAAGUUAAAAAGGUUUUGUUUAUUUUUAUUUUUUUAUUUUUUCAGGUAAUGCAGAUUAGGGAAAAGAUUCAUGGAGCACAUCAUGAUAUGAUGGUGGAAGAUGCACUGCCCCAUGAUGGAUUGAAAAAGAGUCUGACUAUAGUGGAAAGCAAGACCGAGGAAGUAAUAGAAGACAGUGUUCAACCUGAAGAGCCAGAAGAGAAUGAUGAUAUUACUAGAUAUGGACCGGCAAUUUCAGGUGAGUUUGUGGAAGAAACAAAUUCAGAUGAGGGGUGGCAAGAAGCCAAUCCAAAAGGUAGGUCAGGAAAUGCUGCUGUUCGGAAGCUCAGCCGGAGGCGGCCUGUUCUUACAAAGCUAAAUGUCAAUGGUUGUGAACAUUCAAAUCUUAGAGAAAAAGGCAAUAGACGGGAAAUUGUAUCUCCAGCACGGGAAAAAGCUUCAAGGACCACCACCACUGAGUUAACAGGCAUGAAGGAUUCAAUUAAAUUGCAGGCAAAAGCUUCUGUCUCCAAAGUUUAUGCAAGUCCACCAAACCUUACUGCCAUGGCUUCCAAGUCGCUGUCUUACAAAGAAGUAGCUGUGGCACCUCCAGGUACGGUUCUAAAGCCAUUACCAGAGAAACCGGAUGAAGAAAUUGAAGAAAAAACUGAAACACAGAUGUGCAGUAAUGCUCCUGAGACAUCAAAGGCGGAGUUGAAUAACCAUUUCUCUCCCGUUGAAGAUGCGCCAGUUGAUGGUCAGUCUCAAGAAACUCAUGGAAGUGUAACUCAAUCUGAAACUACUGCUGCAGAUACCGAGGAAGUUCCUUCUUCUUCUAAUGAGGAAAAGCCCAUGGAAACAAAUGGGAGUAAGCUUUCUGCCACAGCUGAACCAUUCAACCCAGGAGCUGUCUCCAUGACUCAUCUGCUAAACUCUGUAGCAGCCACGAGUAUUUAUGAUGCGAGAACUAGUCAAGGUAUGCUUGCAGAACCUGCUGUACCUUCGGCUGCUGCUAGAGUUCCUUGUGGGCCAAGGUCGCCUCUCUAUUAUAGAAAUAAUUAUUCUUACAUGAUGAAACAUGGAUUUCCAAAAUACCACUCUUCCAUUAUGGAAAGAAACCUGUUGGGGCCUUCAAGAAUCAUGAACCCGCAUGCACCUGAGUUUGUGCCAAUGAGAGGUUGGCAAAUAAAUCCUGGAUAUGCAGAUUCAAAUGUUUCAAAUGAGUCGAACUCUUCAAAUGACACAAGUGAGGCAGACGAUGAGAAACUUGACAAAAUGUCCAGUAUUCAAGGCGAGGAUAAUACCUCAAGAAAGAGCAGUACAGAGGCGGAGAAGUCAGAGCUGGCAAGACAGAUACUACUUAGCUUCAUUGUAAAGUCAGUCCAGCAUAAUAUGGAUGCUCCAAGUCAUUCUUCAGGCUACGAAAAGAAGAUUGGGUAUUCUGAAAAUUCUUCAGAUGCAAUUGCAAAUGAUAAAUUGUUAGUUAACAGAUUGCAAAUGAUCCUUUAUGGAAAUGAAAAGGGCAAAACAAACUUGGCAUCUCAGUCCAAUGAUCAAGAACAGCAAAAACCGAAAGAUGAAAACCAAAAAAGUGGGGAUGGUGAAGGAUUUAUAGUUGUCAGAAAACGGAGAAGAAACCGACAGCAGAUCACAAAUGGGGUAACUGAGAUGUACAAUCAUCAAUCCAUCUGUGCUUCUGUUCGUUAAAAGAGAGAGCAAAGCAAUAAAAUGCAAAGGUGCCGUCCUGUUUCUCCCAAUUUUAUUCGAAAAAUUUGUCAGUGAAUGUUACCGUUGUAGAAAUGGUUAAAGUUUGGAGCAAGUUUUAAUCAAUACUUGAUUGUAUCAUUUUAGACAUCCUCUCUGGAUGUUCUAAUAUAAUAUUUGUACAAAUUGGUUUCUUGUUUUGUUAAGAGAUUUUGUUUUGAUCAAUAAAUGAUGAUAAAUUAAUUGGGCGAUUUUCCUCAUCAAGAGAUCUGUGAUGUUGUUCUAUAAUGGAUCUUAAUGUUUUAGACUGAGAUUUGUAGUUAUGCCUCAAAUUAUUUGGUAUUUGGUUGGUGCGUGUGAACAAUACGUUCGGAAUGGAGUUGAAUUGGGUUAUCUUAUAUCAAAUGUCUGAAAUUUAAUUUUCUUACAUUUGCAGCUGAAGUUGCUGCACUGAUGAUAUUACAACUAACAUAGUAUUUGGCAAAAUUCCUCAUUCAAUUUAAAUUUGCAAUCAACAGAAACUGAAGAACAAGCCGUAAGUCUAAUCCUAAUGGAUGCAUAGCUGUUUGGAGAAAAGCCAACGGAGACAUAACACAGCACGAUAAGUUAUACACGGCAGAACCGUAUGUGCUAGUAAGCACAGUCACCAAUGGAAAACAUAUUUGAAAAGCCAAUAGUAGCAUGUGUCAAUACAUCUAUCAAUGAAAUAGAACCACAGUCUGCGCCAGUACGAGUUUAUCCAAAGUGCUGCAAAGAAGCCCAAAAUCACCGACACAUAGGAUGCUCCAAAACUCCAUCUUAAUGCCACCAUAUCAAUCACAGAAUCGCCUUCAUCUUCUCCUCCUCCUGUAGGUGUCGCUGGUGGUGCCAACGCACUGCUGCAUUUCCUCUUUAUCAUUGAGCCACAAAGAGCCGAAUUACCUUUAUAACUGCUGUCAUCAAACGUGCCAAACUGCUCUUUGUCUGGGAUUGGGCCGGACAAAUUGUUGUAUGACACGUUGAAGUUUGAUAAAAAGUUGAGGUCAGUUAGUUGAAGAGGAAUUCGGCCACUUAAUUUGUUGCGGGAAAGGUCCAGGCUCUCUAUCAUUUUCAGAUUGGAGAAGCUCUCUGGUAUAGCACCUGAUAGUAAAUUAUUGGACAGAUUAAGUGCACGAAUAUGUUGAAGAUGCCCAAUUUCCCAUGGAAUUUCUCCACUGAACUCAUUGCUCGAAAAAUCCAAUCCAGCCAUGUCGACGAGAUUGAGACCGAUGAAAAAUUCAUAUCUAUACUUUGUCACAAAUUCUACACCUACUUGUUGAUCUACUCUACUAUGUAGUUCACCUUGCGGCUGCUGAUCAAGAGUGGAAUUGUAGUAAGUAGAAGCGGAAUCAUGAUUAGACACACCAAAUCCAGAUCCAUAUGAAUAAUCAACAAUCACUUCUCCCCAGAAUGACAGGUUACCCAGGCAUGAAGGUAUCGGCCCAUUAAGUCUGUUAUGUGAAAGAUCCAUGAUACCUAAUUUUCUUAAUUGGCACAACUGAUUAGGAAUACGUCCUUGUAGAUAAUUCCCUCUCAAAAGAAGAACAUGCAAAUUCGAAAGCUCAUUGAUCUGAUGAGGAAUCCUACCAAAAAGUUUAUUGUCCCUCAAAUCUAGAGUCAAUAAUGUAGAGCUUCGAAGCAAUGCAAUUGGAAUUAACCCAUUAAUUGCAUUGUUAUGCAGAUAAAUGUGCCCCACUGAUGAAAGAUUGGAGAGAGAUACCAUGGACCCAGACAAACUAUUUUCGGAUAUGUCUAUAAACUCAAGACUUUCAAGAUUGCCGAGCUGGACCGGAAUACUACCUUGCAAAUAAUUUUCUGACAUUAAAAGAAGCCAAAGGUGUGAGAAGUUGCCAAUCCAGUGGGGAAUAUCGCCGGAUAACUUGUUGUUGGAUACAUCUAAUACCCCCAGCAAAGGGGAGCUCAACAAACCAUCUGUCAUCUUCCCACUGAAAUGAUUGUUGUCCAAACGUAAGGAACGCAAAUGAGUCAAGUUCAUAUAAUUGGGAAAAAGUUGGCCAUAGAAAUUGUUAUUUGAUAGGUCCAACAUAUCUAAGGGGAGGCAACUAGAGAAUAUAGAUCGAGUUAAUUCUCCUGAAAAAUUAUUUCCAGACAAAUCCAAAGUAAUUAGCUCUUUCAUCUCACUGAUUGAAUAAGGAAUAUUACCUUCAAAACUAUUUUUUGACAUAUCCAAAUAUAUCAAUUUCUGAAAGACAAUACCCAAAUUCUCUGGUAGCUUACCAGAGAAAUUGUUAGUGGAAAUAUCUAGAUAACGAAGCUUAUCGUAUUUGGCAUUGGGAAGUCGCGGAAGAAUUCCUGAGAAUGAGUUAUUCCACAAAAUCAAAACUUCUAAUCCUGUGUUGUUUUGCAACAACCAAGUUGGGAAAUUGCCAACCAACUGAUUGUGAGAGAGAUCAAGGAAUUUUAAGUUGGAUUGGUGUAAAAGAAAACUGGGAUUGACAUUUAAGCGGCAGUGAGGUAAUUGGAGAACCUUGAGAGGAUAUGUGGGGAGCCAGUUUUCGGUUUUCACUUGCAACAUAUCGUUUUGUGGCGAGAGUAGCAAGACCUCAAGCUUUGAAUGAUUAGCCAAUGAAUUUAUUGAGAAUGUUCCUUGGAAAUCGAUGAAAGAGAGAUCCAAAUAUUCAAGUGAUGUGAGGUUGGUCAAGGCAGAAGGAAAUUUUCCACUUAACUGAUUGUAAGAAAUAUCAAGAACUUUGAGAUGGGUCAAGUUGUUGAGACACUGAGGAAGGUGAACCACAAAAUUAUUUAACCUUAAAUCCAACUCAAGAAGAUUCUUCAAAUUACAUAUUCCUGAAAGUGAAAAUAAAAAGCUCAGAUGUCAUAAAACGAAAACUAAUUAUAGCGCAUUCAAUCAUAAACCCAAUAUAAGACUUAUAAAACAGUCAUGAAAUCAAAUUGUCUAAGUAUUUUGGUCAACAUAAAUAAUAAUAGAAUGAUAUGAAUUUAUUUCUCAUAUAAUAUGAUGUUGAUUGCAAAAGCGUUUCAAUUAAUCUAACAAUAAAAUAAUAAUAAUAAUAAUAUAAAAGCAGUCAGCAAUUCUUGCUCAUCAUAAUCCAUUCAAAAAGCAUUUCAGCAAUUCUCGUUGUUUAAAAUAAUGAUUUUCUGCGGAAGAGUUUGUUGACUUCGUCUUUUUCGUUGGAUAUUGGUUCUCUAAUCUCUAAAUUUGUUGGAUAAUGUAAAGAGAAACUCAUAAUAUAUUAGUUGCUUUCUUAAACUUUAUUUAUUCUUCUCAUAGCAUUAAAAAAAUAUAUAUAUUUGCCCAAGCGGAAAAAAAAAAAAAAGCUGGUCUUCAUAUUUAAUUUGACCAACAAGUCACUGGGAAGUAGGAAUUGUGUAUCAGUAAUGCAAAUAUUGGGUGCGUUGGCAUUGUUUUUAUAUGCUUUUUUUUUUUAUUUUUUGAAUUUAGAAAACAUUAGAUACGUGUUCGGUAGAUUGUUUCUGAAAAUAUUUUUAAAAAUAUAAAAUUCAUUCUACACAUUUUAACAAAAGAAAUGAGAAACAAUUUUUUCUUAUUUUCCUUAUUUCCCAAUACAAUAUUAAGUUCCAAAAUGAAGAAUUCUCUGUACCUCCUCCUGAAAUAAUAAUAAUAUCAACAUUAUUAUUAUUAUUAUUAUCAUUAGGUCUAAUUAUCCCUAGGUGACAGAUGUUUUAAUAAAUUUCAAAAAAAUGACACAUGUUUUGAAAACACUCGAGUGGGUGACAUUCCAUUAACUUUUGUUGUUAAUUUUAACCAGUCGAGGGUAGAGUUGAAAAAAUAAUUUUUUUUUUCAUAAAGCCAAAGAGAUGAAAAUAUUGAAUUUAUACAGUACUUUAUAAUUCAUAAGAUUUUUGCUUCUUUAUAUUCACAAAUCAGUUUGAUCAACAAGAAUUUUUUAAAAUUUAUUUGAUUUAACAAAAAAAACCUGGUAAUUAGACUUAUGUUUAUUUUUUUAUAUUUUAUAUUUAAAAAAUUAAAAAUGAGUGAGUAUGGGCAGAAACAUCAUUUUGUGGGGUAGAAAAGUCAUUUAAUUUACUAUUCUCAUUAAAAUUAAUGACAAAAGUUAAUAGAAUGUCACUCGCUCAAAUAUUUUUAAAAAAUGUCAUCUUCUUAAAAUUUGUUAAAACAUAUGUCACCUAGAGAUUAUUGUUGUUGUUGUUGUUGUUGUUGUUGUUGUUGUUGUACCCAAAGAAUCAUUUUCCUUCACAAAAAUCUUUUCUUUUUAUAUACAUUAUAAUAUUUAUGUUUUUAUAUAUUAACUAAAUCAAAUAUGUAGGGUUUAUCAUUUUUCUUUGAACAAAAAAAUAGAAAGAUCACCUAAUUUAUUCUUAAAAUUAAAAUAAUCAAUAUACAUUGCUUAAUCUUAAGUUUAUGGAAAUUAUUCCAAUAAUAAUUCUUUGAGAUAUUCUUACCAAACAUAUUUAUGUUUUUCUCAUUUUUCAGAUUAUUUUUUAAAAUGAUACGGAACACAUUUUUAAAUUUUAAAAAUAAAUUUAAAAAUAGCAUUUUCAUUUUUAUUUUGUAAAAACAACAAUUAGAAAACAAUAUUGGGCUAUUAUUUAUCAUGUUUCAACAUAAAAACACAGUGUAAAUUGUUUAAUAUGGGUUUCUAGAGAAUUUUUUAUGUUACUAUUACUCAAAUUCAAUGCUUCCAAGCUUUUGAAUUUAGCUAAUCUUGCAUCAAGAAUUAAUGAACAUAAGAAAAAAAACAUUUCAUUCAGAACUAUAAAUAUUGAAAUAAAGAUAAAUAUCAUUGUUGAUUUUUUUAUAAAAAUGAUUUAGAAUUAAGAGAGAGUGAGAGAAAUGAGCGGGUUAUUUCGGAAAUUGGUGAUAGAGUAUAUCAAGUACUAAACUUUGUAUAGAAAGCAGUGCUUCUAAUUUAAAUUUGAUCUAGUUUAAAGCAAUUAAAAAAUGGAAAUAUAUUAUCAUCUUGAUUAACAUCUAAAACAAUUUUUGUCAUUGGAGGAAGUGAAUUGUUAUAUACCUUGAAUUGUAGUUAUCCCACAAGAGCCAAGAUCCAAUGUUUUCAAGUUUGGCAAAUCUGCGAAUCCUACAUGCGCCGAUAAAAAAUGAAAAUAUUACAUUUAAAGGCAUUGUAUGUGAUCCGCGCGUUUGAUGAACAUUAAUUCUACAUUUAAUUUGCUUCUUAUCUCAGAUUCAGUGGCCUACCUAGCAUUGUCAGAUUUUGAUUAUCGCUUAAAUCCAACACUUGUAGGUUUGUCAAAUUUGCUAAUCCUGUUAAAAAAGGUAAAUUUUGUCAAUAACAGUUAUGUCACUCUCGUCUAAAUUGUUUAAUUAAAAUAAUAUGGUAAAUAUUGAAUGAAAAUUAACUGUGCACAUUGUUAUUUUUUUGUUUAUAUUGAUAUUUUAAUAUAUACCGUCACUUUUAGCAUUACCAAGAUUUGGAGUGUUUGAAUCAUAAUUUGUAAAUUAGUUAGCACUUUGAGUAAACUUGAAAAUGUGAAAAAAGAAAUUAAAAAAUGCAAAUAUAUUAUCAUCUUGAUUAACAUCUAAAACAAUUUUUGUCAUUGGAGGAAGUGAAUUGUUAUAUACCUUGAAUUGUAGUUAUCCCACAAUAACCAAGAUCCAAUGUUUUCAAGUUUGGCAAAUCUACGAAUCCUACAUGCGCGGUAAAUUUUGUCAAUAACAGUUAUGUCACUCUCGUCUAAAUUGUUUAAUUAAAAUAAUAUGGUAAAUAUUGAAUGAAAAUUAACUGUGCACAUUGUUAUUUUUUUGUUUAUAUUGAUAUUUUAAUAUAUACCGUCACUUUUAGCAUUACCAAGAUUUGGAGUGUUUGAAUCAUAAUUUGUAAAUUAGUUAGCACUUUGAGUAAACUUGAAAAUGUGAAAAAAGAAAUUAAAAAAUGCAAAUAUAUUAUCAUCUUGAUUAACAUCUAAAACAAUUUUUAUCAUUGGAGGAAGUGAAUUGUUAUAUACCUUGAAUUGUAGUUAUCCCACAAGAACCAAGAUCCAAUGUUUUCAAGUUUGGCAAAUCUGCGAAUCCUACAUGUGCCGAUAAAAAUGAAAAUAUUACAUUUAAAGGCAUUGUAUGUGAUCCGCGUGUUUGAUGAACAUUAAUUCUACAUUUAAUUUGCUUCUUAUCUCAGAUUCAGUGGCCUACCUAGCAUUGUCAGAUUUUGAUUAUCGCUUAAAUCCAACACUUGUAGGUUUGUCAAAUUUGCUAAUCCUGUUAAAAAAAGGUAAAUUUGUAGUUAUGUCACUCUUGUCUAAAUUGUUUAAUUAAAAUAAUAUGAUAAAUAUUGAAUGAAAAUUAACUGAGCAAAUUGUUUAAUUAAAAAAAUUACCUUCUAAAGAACUGUGUAUAUAAUAAUUAGAACUCAAAUCCAACGCUUCCAAGUUUUUUAAUUUUGCUAAUCUAGCGCCAAGAAAGAAGAAAAAUCUUAGUAAUCAUCUUUGGGAAAAAAAUAAAGAAUUAAGAAAUUAGAUUAAAUAAUUGUAGUAAUAAAGCUUAUGAUUCAGAUCUAAUUAAAUUGAUCAUAUACUCAAAAAUGAUUUUAUUUNNNNNNNNNNNNNNNNNNNNNNNNNNNNNNNNNNNNNNNNNNNNNNNNNNNNNNNNNNNNNNNNNNNNNNNNAUUAAGAAACAAAUUUCAAAGUUAGAUUAAAUAAUUGUAGUAAUAAAGCUUAUGAUUAAGAUCUAAUUAAAUUGAUCAUAUACUCAAAAAUGAUUUUAUUUAUUUAUUUAUUUUUUUAAAUUUUACUAAGACAUUAGAAAGUAAAUUUUGCCGUGUACAUAUUGUAGUCAAGUUUAUCAAGUUUUCCAGUCAAAAAUUGGUUUUAAUUUGACAUUAUACAUAUGUAAAAAUUAAGAGCAUAAUAAUAUCACAAGGAAUUUGGGUAGUGACUUGUUGCCGUGUACCUUGAAUUGUAGUUAUUCCACAACUACCAAGAUCCAAUUUUUUCAGGUUUGUCAAAUUUGCCAAUCCUACACCAACGAAAAGCAAAAUAUUACUUUUAAAAUUAUUGUAGAAGGUUGUGAUUAGUGUGCUAACUUGGUAAUUAUCUCAGUAGCCUACCUAGCCUUGUUAAAGAGCCACUAGUUAUAUUGAAGUUCAAGCUUAGAUCCGACACUUGCAAGUAUCUCAAAUUUACUAAUCUUGCUCAGAAAACAUUAAUUUUGAUCAAGACAAUAUAAAUAUAUAUUUUAAUUAAGAAAUUAAUUAAGUUGCCUGACAUGUAUAUCUGCUGGCCUGAAACGUAUAUGUAUACCUUGCUUGGUUCUGGAACCUUCAAUCUUAUUGUAACUAAGAUUCAGAGUGGUAAGUGAAGUUAGUGUAUUCAAAUAUGGUAAUAUGCUGUCGUUGACGUAAUUAAAACCAAGAUUUAACAUCUUCAGCUGCUUCAAACUCCCAAAGCUAUCGUAAGCUGCAAAUGCAUAUGAAGUGUUAUUAUUAAUUAGUCACUGACAAAAUAUUUAUGGAUGCGAAAUAAAUGUAUACAUAUAUACGGACCUCUAUUCUCAUAGAUGCCUGUAAACCAAUUCUCGGAUAAGUCAAGGCUUUGCAAUUCUUCAAAAGGAUGAAACAAUGACAUAUUCAUAAACGAAGCCGAAGUUCUAUCAUAAUAUUUCAAUCUCCUUGUAUAAUUGAGUGAGAGUUGCAUCACGCGUCUUGUGGUGGCGUUGCACAUAACUCCCUCCCAAGCAUCACAACAAUCAGACGGCAUGCCAUCAUCCUCACCAACCCAUGAAGGAAGAAUUUUGUCAUCAUAGCCAACAUCACUGACUGAUAUGAAGAAGCUCUUGAUUGCCAACAGAGCAGUCCUCUCUGUUUCCAAGCAUGCUUUGUAUCCCUGCAUUUCAUUCAUCAAUACAAUAAUCCAAAUUAGUGACAUUAAUGAGAACUUAAUACAGGAAGUAGUUUCCAUUGCUGAGCAACUUUUCAUUUGGUUAAAAUUAAAUGUGCAAUGAGCAACUUUCCAUUGCAGAGCAAUUUAUACUAAAAGUUUAUCGCAGGUCUUGCAAUUUGAUUGGCUGAAGACUUUUUUAAGACUUUCCAAUACAUCGCCAUCUUUGAAGACUUGUAAGCAUUCCAUGUUUUGCAACAUUCGACCAAUUUUGUCAUCAUAUCCAACAUCACUGAUAAAGUGAUUGAAAUGACAAAACACAUAAAUGUUAUUUGAAGCUCAUGCAUUCGGAUAAGGAAAGUUUCCAUUGCUCCAGUCUACACUCUUCACUACUAUUACAAUCACUUGAAAUGACAAAAAUAGAAAUUUCGUAUGAACUUGGGACCGAUGUACGGGUGCAAUUUAAAUGACCCUAGCUAAUUUUGCAUAUAUUAUUGCAACUACGUGGAAAAUUAAAGUUGACUGACUUUCAAAUUAAGCCAACAAACAAGUGGCUAUCAACUCUUUUCCCUCUAUGAUUGUUUUUUUUUUUUUUUUUUAAAUUGAAUUGUAUGAUUGGGUUUGCAUUGAAUUAUCCAACAAUCUAUUCAAGCAUUGAUAUUUGAUAUUCUCAAAUAUUUAAUGGGUUUUGAAAAUUAUUUACUAGAUUUUUGAUAAAUUGAUUUUUAUUAUUUCAUGAUCAAUAAUUAAUCAAGUAAUUUUCUAUAUAUAUAUAUUUGGUAAUUUACUCAUAAAAAGUGUGGAUCACAUUGAAAUGUUAUUUUAUAUGAUGCAUGACAUACGGAGAGGUGCAGUUUAAAUGCGCAAAUAAUUUAUUAAUUAUAACAUGCAAUCAUUGAGUUAAAGCGCAAGCGUGAGUUUGGAUUUGAAAUAUUCAAAUAAUUUAUUUCAUUAUUGAUUCUUAAAUAACAUGCUUUGGAAUUAAUAGUUCGAUAGGAUGUUUGAUAUAUUAAAAUUUGUGAUAAUCAAUAAUCAACUAAUUUUCAUUCAUAUUUAAAGAUUUUAAUAAAUUACUCAUAAAAUUGUGGCGUAUAUUGAAAUGACAAUCAAUCUUGAUAUUGACUGACAAUCAAUUUUUAUAGUGAUUGGCACUUAAGACAAUCAGUUUUGGUCUCCGUAAUGACUAAUGAAGAAUUGUAAGCCUGAAAUUCCACAUGUUGCAAUGUUGGACCAAUGAGGGAAAUGCUUCAUUAACAUUACAUGGAAAAUAAAUGUUGACUGACUUUCAAAUUAGACCAACAUACAAGUAGUCGUCAAUUCUAUUUUUUCCAACAGUUGAUAAAGAUGGCUAGUUAAGAAAAAAAAAGUUGAUUGAGAUAAUUUAAAGAAUUUAAGCGUAAGUUUGGGUUUGAAAUUAUCAAAUAAUUUAUUCCAGCAUUGAUUCUUAAAUAAUGUACUUUGGAAUUAAUAACUCGAUAGGAUGUUUGACAUAUUGAAAUUUGUGAAAAUCAAUAAUCAAUUAUUUUUCAUACAUGUUUAGACAUUUUAAUAAAUUACUCAUAAAUUUGUGGUGUACACCGAAAUAAUAAGUUAUUAUAAAUUUGUGGUGUACUCUUGAGUCCCUUUGUAUCCUUGCAUUAAUUUGAAUCAAAGCUCGAAUUAAAAUCAAAGACCCAUAUUGAGAAUUUAUAUAAAUAACUUAAGAGUAUGAUUGGGUUUACAUUGACUUAUAUAUAUCAAACAAUAUAUUCAAGGGCUGAUAUUCUCAAAAAAAAGAAAAAAAAAAAGACAAUCAAUCUUUGCGUCAACUGAUAUUAUUGAUUGGUAAUAAAUCUUAGUAGUGAUUGACAAAGCUUGGGAAAAUCACUCUCGGUGAUUAAUAGUCUUCGUCCUCAUCUUUGUUUUGAUCGUUGUGAUAGAGGAUGAGUGGUGCGUAAGAGAGGGUUCAUCGCUUGCGGAAUUUUCGCGGCCAUUCAAGAAUCAGGAUGGUUGUUGUAGAAUUCCACGAGAAUUGGCCGUGCAAUUAGGGAAAGUUCAAUAUUAAUUUAUACUAAAAGUUUAUCAUAGGCCAAUCACGGUGACCACCAAAACCUAUGAAUGAUUAGUCCAUCGAAACCCAAUGUAUGCUCAAUUAAUAUUUCCUAUCAAGAUCAAAAUUUUCACUCUAUUGCUUCACCAAUCAUGCGCAUAAAAGCUCGAUUUAUACAAAACUUACGAAUUUAUGAAAAAAAAAGUCACAAUUAUUAUAAUUGGAAGUUUGAUUGAUUUUUAAAGAUUGAUUCAAUCAAUCUUAAUGUUACUGGACAAUCGAUCUUAAUAUUAAUUCAAAAUCAAUCUUUAUAGCAAUUGACACAGAUAAAGAUAAUUAGUUUUGGUCUCUAUAAUGAUUGACGAAGACUUGUAGGACCUGCACCAAUGAGGAAAAAUGCUUCAUUAAUACUCCAUGGAAAAUAAAUGGUGACUGACUUUCAUAUAAUCGAUUGACGUAUAAUUAUAAUUAUAUAAUCAAACACGCACACUACAAGGCGACCUUCGAUUGACGUAUUCUGUCAACUAACCCAUGGGACAUGGAGUGCUAAAACCAUAAUGUACGCCAGUAUGAAUAAUAUCAUCAAUCAAACCAAAAAAAAAAAAAAUUGAUGAAUAAUAUAGUUCCAAGCAGUGCUAAAACCAUAAUGUACGCCAAUAUGAGUUUAUCCAAAGUCACCGGCUACACCAAUAUCAUAGUGACAUAGGAAGCGAUGAGGAAAUUUACGAAAGAUUUAUUAAAUGAUCAGAGACUUUCUGCAAUUUCAUUGACUUAUUCUACGAUAAUUAUAAUCAAACACGCACACUGCAAGGCGACCUUCGAUUGACGUACUCUGUCAACUAACCCAGGGACAUGGAGGAUGUGUGUUGACGUUAACCAAUAGCCAAGUUUAUAAACACAAUCAAGCAAUCGUAUCAUCAAUCAGAGCCACAUUCGACGCAUGACUAGUAAAUAUCAUAAUUGAGUUUGAGGACCACAGCCGCACGGUGAAAGAAUUUGAAUGGAGGAAAAGCAAAGGAAAAUGAAAAGGAAAAGAGGGGAAUGCUAAAGAAAAAUAAGCUGAUUCAUCAGUAACUCCAUAUGACAUUUUUUUUUUAAAAUAAGCAUACCGUGGGGGGUUAGGCGGGACCCCUACCUGUCAUUUAUAAAAGAUAAUGAAAGAUACAAGGAGGGGGACAAAAACCAAAACCUCCAAUCAAGAGAAAAAAAUACAACAGAAAAAUAAAAGAUUAAGGCAUAGCCUAACAUGAGAAUCAUAAUAAAAUGACUAAUGAAGACGGUGAUAAUAUGUCUUACGAUACUUACGGCCGGUAAGUAAUUUAAAUCCCUUUUUCGAUUGACCAACAAUGCUAAAAUCGGGACUUAAGUCUAUUCUCUCAGAAUUCUCAGGAGCAGAUAAAAAGUGUUCGUUAUUCGCCAGGUGCUCGUCAGAACUAUCAUCAUUAUCAGUAUGAGAAUUGUAAUGCCUAAAAUCUGUGCUGGAUGCUCGAUGAAGAUGUGGAUUAUACUCACCAAUGCUCCGCAGGGGAGACAAGCUUUGAUCACGAGGUUCCUUAGAAUCAUGAGUUGUGUCAUCUUGGGCAAUCGGCUCCUGAACGGAUGUAGAAUUUGUAACGUUAGGCCGGUUCUCCGAAGGUUUAGUGAUCGGGGACCCCGCGUCUACAAUCUGCUUAGUGAUGGAAAGCUCAGGUCGAGGAGUAUCUGAGGGUUGUGGAGUAUCUGACGGUAGAACUUCUGACUUCUUACCAUCUUCUACUCUGGUCUGCCGAUUCCCACUGGGUCGCUGGGGACGAAGCCUCGGAUUGGCCACGUAACACGUCUCAAUGGUAUGGCCAAGGUGCUUGCAGGAAGCACAAUAGAGUGGGAUUUUCUCAAAAAUUACAUUUUGCCAAAAUCCAGAAUCUCCCACCCCGAUUCGUAUCCUUGGCAAAGGAGGUUGGGUAACAACAUACUCCACUAAUACCCUAGCUACAGAAGGGCGAGCUAAAGAGGCAGUAGCUUGGUCAAUUCGCAAUGGCUUGCUAAUAGCUGAUGCAAUAGAAAAUAAUGCUUCCUUACAGUGCAUGAAGUGGACAGGCAAGUAAGGAAAUGAGAUCCAUACUGGAACUAUAGGGGACUCCUCAGAGCACCGAAAAUCGGUGGUCCAUUUAAAAAUUCUCAUGGCACUCCCAUUAAUGUGCCAUGUCUGCCUAACCCAUAGGCGGGAAUAGUCAUCCUCAACGUCCAAUUGAAUUAACACAUGUCGAUUAUCUAGUAAAGACACCUUAAAAGUUCCCUUCAAUCUCAAAGAAGUAAAAAAUUUACGAAUUAAUUCCAUACUAGUCUAUUAUAAGAAAAUUUACCAACCAAUGUCAACUUGAAGGGAAUGGCCAUCGCUUCAAUUUCCGCAACGGAGAAUUGCACGUUAGGCUCUCCCCCGAAAGAAGUAACGGUCUUGAUUGGAACCAUCGAGCUAGUUGGGCCGAUCAUAAUAUCCAUAAACGAACUUUUAUUGGUUCUCUUUUGAUUCGAAUUGGGGACGGAAUUCAAAAUUGAGGCAUAAGAUGGUGCGGAUGUGGGCGGUGUAGCAUUUUGAGUCAACGGGGUAAAUUGGGGAUUAUUAGAAAUGAGUGUUGAGGGCAUUCGGGAGGGCUGGUUGUUGGGGUCAGAAAUGGAUUGGGCUUGGGAUUGAUUAGUGGGAAAUGCUAAUGGGACAGGGGGAAGGCUAGUGGGAAACACACAUGGGGGACACAAAUCAUGCGCGGCCGAAAGUGGUUCAUGUGCAUGUGGAGCAACAAGCUGCUGCACGCGUGAAGACUUUUGGGCUGGGAUGUUUGCUCAUGGCUGCUGCACGCGUGGAGACUUUUGGGCUGGGAUGUUUUCUGAUCUUGACUGGAUUCGGUGGUGUUUGCUUGCAUGGGGAGCUGACAAUCGCCGGUCAGCAGCUGCAGCUGGCUGUGAACACUGUUCCGAGUGCGUGUGUGUGAGACUUUUUGGCUCGUGGGGGUUGUUUGUGUAGGAUAUGGUUGUGGCUGACUGGAUUUAACCACGGUGGUUGCAUCUUGAAGAGGUUCUUGAUUAAAUUGGCCAUGAAGCACGGGCUGGUUUUGAGAAUGCAUAGGGGCUGUAACAGCUGGCUGAUCGUCUCCCGAGUGAUCAUGUAUGGCUUGUGUUGGCUGCGGACUAGAUGCUGGAAGCUGGUUUGUGUUAGCUUGUGAAGGCUUGGUUCGAUUUGAAGGUGAUGAUGGCUCGACGGUUGGAAGGUGGUCAUGGCUAGUUAAGGUUGGAGUUUGCUGUUGAAGGGAUGACGAUGGCGAUGGUGGUUGAUUGGCUGUGUUUACGGAAGUUGGUGGCUGUUGGGGUUGGAUGGCUGGCGAUUGGCUUUUAUAUUUUGAACGAGUUUUCCUUUGAGAUCUCCUAAGAAAAGGAAAUUCGUUUUUGGAAGUGAGGGGGAGAAUCGGUGGAGGCUGGCUGCCAUUACCAUCAGCCGGUAAGUUCAUGAUAGCCGGCUCGUGAAGGGAUGGUUGAUUUGCUGCAUCAUGGCAGCCUUCAUGAGACGUUUCUUCUUGUUCACUUACGACAACAGAGGUGGGUAAGGGCUGCCGAAAUUUCGAGAGGAUAGAGGCAGUGGAUGUCGGUGGUUGAUCAGCAUGAUGGUGGAUUGGAGAUGGAGGGUCUGCAUGGGAGUGGUUUGGAGAGAAAUGAUUUGGUUGUGUGGAUGGAUUGAGGUCAUUUUGCCGCUGGAGUGAUUUGAUUCGCGGUGGUGACAGUUGGACGUCAGGCGGUGGAUCAUUGGUGAAUUUUGGGGGUCGUCUAAAUGAUUUCUUAGGAGGGAUCAAACUCCUAAUAAUUCGUUCUUCGGCGGAGAGGGUGUUGACCGGUGAUGACUGGUUGCCAUCACCGGAGGCCGGAGAGGCCAUUAAGGCCGUUUAAGGCUUAGGGGGGGGGCUUGAUAGAUAGUCUUCAAACCAUUUGUUCCGGUCACUUAUUUUUCUAAACAAACCAAUUCACCCAGUUUCCCCUCCAUGACUACUUUUAGCCUCCGUGUGAUUCAAAAUAAUUAACACAGACGUCCUGCGUGUCACAUGUAACGAGCUAAUUCUGUUAAGGCCUUCACUCCAUAGUCUUAAGAUCUCAGUGAACAAUAAAUUCUUCAGAUUCAAAUGGCAAAUGAAUUGCACAACAAGGCAUAAACCCCGCUUGAAGGCAACCCGCUAUAAUUAAUACAUAAAAAGUUCAAUUGCUCAUAAAAGAAAGAUACAGUAAACUAGUGGUAUUGUAGUAUAAACAAUACUGGUUUUUCUAUCUUGGUGGUUUCUUGAUAGUGUUCAAAUAUCAGUCCUCGAAGAAAGAUAGAGGAAAGCUAAAGAAAAAUAAGCUAAUUCAUUAUUGACAUAAUGUGACAAUUGCACGCAACUCUUGGAUGUUUUUAGCCACCGAAAUUUUUAACAUUAAUGAUGAAUUACAAAUAUGUGAAUGAAAACUUAGAAACAAAUUUUUGCUGUGAAAGAAAGUAAAAGAGAGCAGAGAAACAAAAAACAGAGGAUUUCAUUCGUCAUUCAUAACUGAUUUUCCUAGUGCAAAUGCGCAAGGUUGAACAUUCAAAAUCCAUAAUUCUAAAUCAAAAUCACCAACAGACACCUGUACAUGAAAUAUUCAGGCCUUCACUCUGGCCUUAAGACCUCAUGUACGAGAAGUUCGUCAGAUUCAUAUAGCAAAUGAAUUGCACAAGAAGGCAUAAAAAUUAGUAUAUUUUUCAAGAACCGAGCUUGAAAGCAAUGAAAUAAAAAUUAAUACAUAAAAGUUCAAUUACACAUAAAAGAAGGAUAACGGUAAACCAUGGCCAGGCAAGAUCACGGAUGAAAUAUACAAAUUUCACAAGCCAAUAUAAACAACAAUCAGUGCAUGCAUCAAUGAAAGAAAACCGUGGCCACUGCCAAUACGAGUUCAACCAAAGGAUUCAUCUUAAUUGCAGAUUCAUCUUCGUCUUCUCCUCGAUUGGAUGUUAUUGCUAGAUUUUCCUCUGUUCUGGUGCAACUCUUAUUAAUUGUUGGACCACAACGACCCAGAUUAUAACUCUUUUCAUCAAACCUGCCAAAUUGUUUUUUGUCUGGGAUCAGACCAGACAAGUUCUUGUAUGACUCGUUAAAGUUGGAUAAAUAGUUGAUGAGUGAUCUGAAGAUCACCGAUCAGAAAAUUUUUCAUUUAUGUUUGUGUAAAUUAUUCAUAGUAUGGUCUACUAUGAAAUUACAAAAAUAAGCAUAGUAAAUUUGAAUAAAGGAAAGGAAAAUGAGAAGGAAAACAGAGGAAGGCUAAGGACAAAUAAGCUGAUUCAUCAGUAACUCAAGAUCACAACUUUUGGAUGUUUUUAGCCUCCGAAAUUUCAACAAAUAUUCAAGUGAUGUGAGGUUGGUCAAGGUAGAAGGAAAGUUUCCACUUAAUUGAAACUUUGAGCUUAGAUCCAACUCAAAAGGAUUCUUCAAAUUACAUAGUCCUGAACUUGAAAAUAAAAGAUCAAAAUUUUAUAGAAUGAAAACUAAUUAUAGCGAAUUCGAUCAAAAUCCAGUACAAGACUUAGAGAACAGACAAAAAUCAAAUUGCCUAAUUAUUUUGGUCAGCACAAAUAAUAAUAGAGUAAUGUGAACUUAUUUCUCAUAUAAUAUGAUGUUGAUUGCAAAAACGUUUCAAUAAUCUGGAAAAAGGGAAAAAAAAUAAAAUGCCCUCAGCACUUUUUGCUCAUCAUAGCCCGAAGUCCUUCUUGUUUAACAUUAUGAUUUUCUGAGGAAGAAUUUGUUCACUUGAUGUUGUUCAUUGGACAAUGGUUCUGUAACCUCUAAACCUAUUGGAUAAUGUAAAGAGAAAUUCAUAAUAUUUUAGUUGUCUUCUUAAAUAAUAAAUUGUCUCAAAAUACAAUUAAUUUGUCUUAAAUUUAAUUUAUUCCUCAGCAUUCAAAGAAAAACAAAAACAAAAAAAGAAAAAGAAAAACGACCUGGUCUUUAUAUGUAAUUUUGUCCAAGUACUUUGAUCAACAAAUCAUUAGGAAGGUGGUGUAUCAGUGAUGCAAAUAUUUAAUUAUCAUGUUUCAACAUAACAAUUCUGUGUAAAUUGUUCACUUUAUGUUUCUAGAGAACUGUUUAUAUUAUUAUUACUACUCAAAUUCAAUGCUUCCAAGUAUUUGAAUUUAAUUAGCUAAUCCUGUAUCAAGAAUUAAUUAAUGAACAUAAGAUAAAUGUCAUAUUAGUUAGAUUUAGAUUUUUUUUUUCCAGUUUUGAUGUAUAGAUAAAAAUAAUACUUCAAAAGCAUUGAAAUGUAAGAGCUAUUAAAAAAAUGCUUUUCAUUCAAAGCUAUAAGUAAUGAAAUGAAGAUAGAUAUCAUUGUUGAUUUAAAAAAAAUCAGAAAAAAAAAAAGAAAAGAGUGAAAGAAAAGAGCAGGUUAUGUUAGAAAAUAGUGAUAGAGUAUGUUAAGGACUAAAAUUUAUUAAAGAAAGCAGUGGUUCCAUUUGAAAUUUGAUCAAGUUAGAAUUAGUCAAUUAUGCAUCGAGAAUCAAAAGAAUGAAGAAAGGGAAUUCAAAUUAGACUUACAAAAUUAUAAUAAAGUGAUUAGUUAAGAUCCAAUUAAGCAGAUUUACUAAAAAAAAUAUUGAAAAAUAAAGGGCCAUAACAUUGCCAAAAGGACUAGGAAACUAAGUAGGAAGGGCUGAUUGUUGCGGAAUACCUUGAAGUGUAGGUUAUUCCACAACCACGAAGACCAAUUGCUUUCAAGUUUGUCAAAUAUGCCAAUCCUACAACAAUAUAAAGCAAAAUGUUACUAUAAAAUUAUUGUAGAAGAUUGGUAUUUUCAGUAGCUUACCUAGCCUUCUUAAAGCGCCACUUGUUAGAUUUUCAGGUUAGAUCCAACACUUGCAAGUUUCUCAAAUCUGCUAAUCCUACUCAGUAAACAUUAAUUUUGAUCAAAUCAAUAUCCUUGAUUGAAUAUAAAAUUUAUGAUUAAACCAAUAAAAUUUAUUCUACUUGAUUUUUGUACAAUUUUUUUUUCACUUGAUCAGCUGUUUUAUUCCCUUAAAAUAAAUGAAUUAAAAAAAUGUUAAUUGUUUUACGAGUUAAUAAUUUUAUAUUUAUUUAUUUAUUUAUUUUACCUUCUAUUUAUUAGUCUUUUGAAUAAUUUAUAAGAUUUAACAAUUGUAUUAGAUGUAAUAUUUUUAAAAAAAAAACUAUUAGCAUUUAUUAUUUAAUAAAUCUAUUUAGAUAUUUUUAAAAUUUGUUAUUGAUGAUAGAGUUUGGGUCAAUGGUCAACAAUUAAUAGUUACUAUGAUUUUUUUUUCCCUCCCUUUCUAAUUGAUAGAUUUCAUGUGUUCCGAAAACGAAGUUUAAGGAAAAAGAAAAGGAAAAGGAAAAGGAAAAAAAAAUGGCUGUGAGGCCACUUUCCCUGGGUCUUGGUUGCAAUGCGCGCAUGUACACAGGCUGAAGCCAGCAAGAUGGUAUCAUAAGUUAACAAUGAGAACCUUACUCUGAGAACAAGGUAUAAUUUGCUCACAUCAGUUAAAACAUAAGUUAGGUUGUGAUUUAUUGAUUGCACAUUCACCACAGGCACGUAUUGGGAGGAUAUUUAAGCCGAUCAUCAUCUCAGGUAAUCUUUCUUAGGAAUUGGAGAAAUGAAGCUAAAAGAGCACCAAUAAUUUCAAACAUAUAUACCUUGCUUGAUUCUGGAACCUUCAAUGUUAUUGGAACGAAGAUUCAGAGUGGUAAGUGAAGUUAGUGUAUGUUGAGUACAUAAAAGCACCAGGUCGGCCAUACUACUAUUUCCGCCCCAGCAAGGAUCACCUCAGCCAAAUGGUACGAGCAGAACCGGGGGCAACACGAGCCGAGCAGAGACGAAUACUGACCAGAGGCAUAUACCGAGCCGAUACCUGUCCCCCAAGAGGCGGGAACACGAUCUCACAAGAUCGCGGCAGUUGCGCUUUCCCAGAACCGUUGCAGGAGACGCGAGAUCCCACGUUUGCCCAUAAUGCAGCAGUUAGAGUCCCAUGAGGGGCUGCCACGACCCGAAAAAGGUGGGACGAAGGGCAAAAUGGAAACAUGGGGACAGUGGCUAUAAAAGAAGAAGAAAUCGACAAAGAAGGAGACAGAAAAAUUGAGGGAGGGAAAACGCUGCCAAAUUUCAACCAGGCCAUUUUCUUACAAAUCUCUAACAAACUUCUUGAAUCCAAAUUACAUUGUUUUCCCGUGAACACCUUGUGCUAACUUAAGCAUCGGAGGGUUUACGCCGGCAAAACCACCAGAAUCUGGUCGGUCCAAGGGCGAGCAGAUUUCAGCAUCAACAUUUUGGCGCCGUCUGUGGGGAGCUGGAUAAAAAGCUACCACCGAAUUAGUAGUUACCGGAGAAACAGCGAACGAUUAGACAUGGAUGUGCCAAGGAAGGACGCUUUGAGGGAGGAUAACGAAUCGGGGGAGACAAUCACCCUUCGGGAAAUUGCAAAUGAAGCCCGAGAGAGGGUGAUGUAAGAUCGGUUGGAACGAAUGGAGAAGCAAAUGGAGACUCUCGCUACCAUACUGAAUGAGCUGAGAGAUGAGCGGAGAAGGGAUUUCGAAAUCCCCGUGGGGAGAGAUGAUGUUGGAGCAGAACUCAACCUCCGGAGGUGUAGAAUCGAGGAAAUCCCUCCGCCGGCGGACCAACCUUAUGGGGUGCAUCCCCACAGAAGCACUGGUCGGGUUCCUGGAGAACAAGUAGUUGAAGGGAGGAACCAACCUCGCCCCAGGCUAGUACCGGAAGCUGAUGGCCGAGGGGCCAGUGCUGAUGAAGGAGAGUUAAGACAGCGGUUGCAGAAUGUCGAGCAGGAGCGAGAUCAGAUAGCUGCACGUGAUCCUGACCGUGCUGUAGAAUUGGAGGGAGAGGUGCGCAGAUUAGCCAGGAGUUGGCCGAGCAGUUCCGAGGGGCAGUGGCCCCAGAGGACGACAUGAUGGAACUGAUGGGGAUGAAACAGGAGGAGCAUGAAUCCCUUCGAGGAUUUGUAAAACGAUAUCACCGAGCCGUGCUGGAUCUGGGAGCUUUUAAUCACCCGCAGGCGUUGAGGGGAUUAAAAGAAGGUGUAAGAAUCGGUUGACUGUGGUAUAACUUAAGAAGCCCCCUUGUACAGAAUUACUCGUCGGGGUAUGAGCAGGCGAGGCGAGAUAUAGAAAUCGAAGAGGAGAAAUCGGCAAGAAUAAAAAGUGAACAGCUGGACGAGCUGAGGUGAAAGGAACGGAGAGCCCCGACAGGGAGCGGGUCGGGAAAGCGAACUGGAGAAUCUUCAGGGAUGGGCGGAAUAUCAGCUCGGUCCCGCCCUUACCCCAUAGCUCCGAGAGCACAACAGUUCCAACAUAGCCGGGCUCAACCUCCGCGCCCCCUGAUCCCAGAGCGGCAGCAAGAUUUCCGGCAGAUGGCUGCCCACCCCUAUCACAACACUCCCAGAGCAUUACAUGCAACCAAUUCCAGGGCUAGACGACCAGAUCAGUUAGAGACUGUGCCAGCCCGAGGUGACAUUCACGAUAGCCGAGCAGUUCAGCUGGUAGACCAGAGCUUGGCAUAUAGACAGUACACUCCAUUAAAGAUCUCCCUGGAGGAAUUGUAUGAGAGGAUCGAGGGACGAGGCCUGCUGUAUCCUCCAGCCCCAAUAACAAAACCGACUUACCGACGGGAUAAGAGCUGAUUCUGCAAAUUCCACGACACUCACGGUCACACUAUAAGCCAGUGUCGUGACCUGAAGAUUCAGGUGGAGGAUUUAGUGAGGAACCGAUACUUGGACGAGUAUGUAGAUGGAAUGUCCCCUGUCGUGGAAUCACAGUACACACGGGAUGAAGGAGUUGAGAGGGAUCUGGAACGUGAACAGCCGACCAUCCGUGUGAUAGCAGGAGGUCCAACAUUGGCCGGGGAUUCGAACAGAGCACGGAAGAACUAUGGGAGAUACGCCAUGACUGGCAAAGAGGUGCUUCUGAAUUUGCCAGCAGCCAAGAAGGCAAGAGUACGACAAGUUCCCAUUAUGUGGACGGAGGAUGACGAAGAGGGCAUUUUGUACCCUCAUGAGGAUGCACUGGUGAUUAAAGCAUUAGUGGCUAGCACAGAGUUGAGGCGAAUACUGGUGGACACGGGCAGCUCAGUCGAUAUUCUGUUUAAAUCGGCCCUAGAUGAUAUGGGGAUUUCAGACUUAAAGCUGGAGCGGACGAAUACAUCCUUGAAGGGAUUUGGAGGGGGACGAUUAACUCCCAUGGGGGUCAUUGAACUCCCGAUUACUGUGGGGACAAAGCCGUUUGAAAGAACGAUGAUGCUGGACUUUGUCGUAGUAGAGGAAAGAAGUCCUUACCAGAUGAUACUGGGGAGACCGUUCAUGAGGAUAAGCCAAUGCGUAAUGUCCACGCAUUAUCUGGCGCUGAAGUAUAGAAUAAAUGGAGUUGUGGGUGUAGUAAAAGGCGACCAGAGAAUGGCGAGGAGCUGCUAUGCUACAGCGGCCAAGGAAACGCUGCAGGUUACCUCUCUAGAUAGCCGAGGGGAUUCAAAAAAUAGUCGCCAGGAACCUGUUGAGAAGCUGGAGGAGGUUAUUGUAAGCAGGAGUGACCCUAGCAGGGUCACACGUUAUUACAACAAGAACGUACGUGUGAGGCAGUUCCGAGCAGGAGAUUGGGUGCUCAGGAAGGUGAACCAAAAUACCAAGGAUCCUAACCAUGGAGCUCUUAGUCCGAAAUGGGAAGGCCCGUACAGGGUGAUACGAGCAACUGGUCCGGGAGCUUAUAAGUUAGCGUACCGAGAUGGACGAGACGUGAAGAGGUCAUGGAACGCCGAGCAUUUGAAGAAGUAUUUCCAGUAAGCAAAAUACUCUACUAAAUCUUCAAUUUGAUAAGUUAUAUUGGUCAAAUGCAUGGUGGCUUGGUGCACAUGCAUAUGUUUUGUACUUUUGUAACGCAUUCAAAUUUCAAUAAAGAGGAAUUCAGCAUGAAAUCCCCCGGCUAAUAAGCCCAUCAAAAAUCUGCUAAGGCAAGUAAAUGCCUACUUCUGCUCGGUCAACGAAAGACCAGCAACUAAAUUUACGAAGAUUUUACCAAGGCAAGUAAGUGCCUACUUCUGCUCGGUCCACGGAGGACCAGCAGCUAAAUUGACGAAGAUUUUACCAAGGCAAGUAAGUGCCUACUUCUGCUAGGUCCACGGAGGACCAGCAGCUAAAUUUACGAAGAUUUUACCAAGGCAAGUAAGUGCCUACUUCUGCUAGGUCUGCCUACUUCUGCUCGGUCAACGAAAGACCAGCAACUAAAUUUACGAAGAUUUUACCAAGGCAAGUAAGUGCCUGCAUCUGCUAGGUCAACGAAGACCAGCAGCUAAUUUAUCAAAUGCUCCUAAGGCGAGAAAGUGCCUGCUUCUGCUCGGUCAACGAAGACCAGCAGCUAAUUUCUCGAAAGUUUCGCUAAGGCAAGUAAGUGCCUGCAUCUGCUCGGUCAACAAAGACCAGCAGCUAAUCCUACGAAAAUCCUACUAAGGCAAGUAAGUGCCUAGUCCGGCUCGGUCAAGGAAGACCAGCAACCAGUUUUGUCUGCUCGGUCAACGCAAGACCAGCAGCUAACUCUACAAGAAAUCUACUAAAGCAAAUGCCUACUUCGGCUCGGUCAACGAAGGACCAGCAGUUAAUCCUACGAAAGGCAAAACUAAGAUACAAUCUAUGAGCAAAAACCGGACAAGAAAGCAAAUAAAGAGCAUUUAAAAAUCUUUUUAUAAAUGUUCAAUUGUUUACAAAACAAAUGCAAAUCUAGAGUCUAUACAAAAAUAGGCUCAAAGCUUAGCAGAGUCAACGGCUCCAGCGGCUGAAGGAUCAGCGAGCCCGGGAAGUGAGGGAUCAGCAACAUCAGGAGGUGGGAGAUCAGCAAUACCGGGAGGAGGAGGCAUGGACCCUUGACCCAUUUCGAAAGUGCGUCCCCCAGCAUCCCCCUCUUCCACCCCACCCGAAGGAACCUCCACCCGAUCCUGCUCACCCUGCUCCUUAUCUCCCUGGCCGGCCCCAGCCAUAUAUCUCUCCACCCCAGCCUCCAGCUUGCUCAUGUCGAGCUCGGGGUAUUCUUCCGUGAGCACAGACAUGAUGCACUUAUAGCUGAAAGCAACCCCGGAGUCAUACUUGGCAUCCAGCCGAUCAUCCACAUCAGCGGAUUUGCCUUUCUCUUCAGCCAGUUGGUCACUCAGGGAUUUGAUCUCUCCCUCAAGGGCGGUCCUCAGAGUAUCUCUCUCACUUUGAGUAGCCUGAAGAUCGGACUUCAGAUCACCCAACUCGCCCUCAAGCUUGGAGGAAGUGGACUCAGCAACAGCAACUUUCUCCUCAAGCUCCGUAAGCUGCUUGUUCAGCUCGGCCAUUUUUUCCUUGGACCGAUCAGCAGAUUCGGCUUUCUUUUUCAACUCCUGGUUAUCAGCUUGAAGCUUCUUCUCAUGACGCGCGGACCUGGUCUUGUAGCACGAGACCAUUGUGGCCAGCCUGAAGGAGACUCUCUGAACAGAAGCAGCCAACUCGGAGAGGCUCAUGCUCUCGAUCUCCUUCACCAUCUUGGGCCCAACCGACUUUUUAUAAUCCUUCUGAUAUGGGCUCAGGUAGUCACCUUGAUCCCGAGAUGGAAGAGGAGAAGAUCGGUCCCCAGACUGCAAGCUGACCUCAGGACUCUUGUCGGAGGUUUUCUCCCCAACACUCUUACGAGGUGGAGGAGGGGGCAGAGCAGGAACAGGCGCCUUGGAAGGACCAACGCUAGGUUUCUUCGGAGGAGGAAGAGGGUUGCUGGAGCUACUCGGGGCCCGACCACGCUUCCUGCUCAUCGCACUGAGGAUCUUGUUAUCCAUUCCAGCGGCUAUGUCCACUAGCCCCGAGCCGACCAGGUUUGUUGGAGACAGGAGGUCUUGGCAGGUUUGCUGGACACCACUUUCCCCCAGCAAAGAAGAAUUUGUUCUUCCAAUUUUUGCACGAGGAGGGGAAACCGGUGAUUGGCUUUCUCUUCGCAGAACUGGACAUGAAGUAGUACCAGCCCGCCUCCCUUGGGCUGCUCCGCAGCUGAUACAGAUGUUUCACUUCAACAAGGGAAGGCUCCUCCGACCCGCACCUCUCCCACAACACAAACAUUACCAAGAGAACCCUCCACCCGUUCGGGUGUAGCUGACCUGGGGCCAGGUGCAUACCUCCUAAUAUCUUGGCAAAAUAACGUUGCAGGGGCAGCCGAGCUCCUAGUUUAGGCUAUGUAAUCAAUAGGGUAGGAAUCAGCCUCCACCCUAUGGCCAAGAUUCCUUUUCUUAGCAGGUCCACUCGGUCCAGAACUGCUCCCCUCACCAUCACCAACUCCUUCAGGGAUCCCAACCCCACCAAAGCUGUGGUUCUCACCAGAGCCCGAAGCAGUUCCACCUCUAUUCCCUACAAGCUCUGGUUCGGGGGAGGGAGAGACAACCAAGGGGCGUGGGUACUCAAGGGUACCCCUACCAUGGGAAGGACCUACACUACUGGAGGGACCUAAGAAAUCAGUGGGUAUUGACACAUUGAGGCCUGAAUCCCCUGAUUCUUCAUCACCCUCAUCAACAAUUAACUUUCUCUUUCGGUUUGACAUAUCGGAAUCUCAAAAAGAAAACAAAGAAAACUCGAAUAUACGGAUACACAAGGGGGCAACACGGAACCCAAUCAACAACAACCAGAGAAGAGAUUAAAAGCAGUACCUGAAAUGAACUGGCCUUGAUAGCGCUGCCGUGACCGAGAAAAAACCAGCAAGUAGAAGCCUCGGACGCAGGAAGUAUGAGUAAAGUGCAGAAAAUGGGGUAGGUUAACGACGGAGAGACGAGUAACAAAACGAUGACGAUGUGAGUCUAGGGAUUUGAAACGAAAAGGGGGAAAUGAAAGCAUUUAAGUGAUGGAGACGCACCGUACAUCGAGGACAGAUAGCCCGUCGUUUUAAAUUUCAAAUAUGAAGAGUCUGGAGAUGCCACAUCACUAACCGUUACAAGGGGCCAGGAUAGAUGUAAGCCCAGAUAUGCAAUGGACAUGCUCAUUUAGGCCCAUACUCAGGUCGAAAUCUCCCCAGAAGAAAAAUGGUACCUCAGAUCCGUCUCAGUAAACAGAAGACCAGAUGAGAGGCUCCCCGGGUUGGUGAGUUUUGACAAUCAGUUUCUACUCUUCACUCGUUUCACUCGCCAGACCAGAAACUGGGGGACUGGUGUUGAGUACAUAAAAGCACCAGGUCGGCCAUACUACUAUUUCCGCCCCAGCAAGGAUCACCUCAGCCAAAUGGUACGAGCAGAACCGGGGGCAACACGAGCCGAGCAGAGACGAAUACUGACCAGAGGCAUAUACCGAGCCGAUACCUGUCCCCCAAGAGGCGGGAACACGAUCUCACAAGAUCGCGGCAGUUGCGCUUUCCCAGAACCGUUGCAGGAGACGCGAGAUCCCACGUUUGCCCAUAAUGCAGCAGUUAGAGUCCCAUGAGGGGCUGCCACGACCCGAAAAAGGUGGGACGAAGGGCAAAACGGAAACAUGGGGACAGUGGCUAUAAAAGAAGAAGAAAUCGACAAAGAAGGGGACAGAAAAAUUGAGGGAGGGAAAACGCUGCCAAAUUUCAACCAGGCCAUUUUCUUACAAAUCUCUAACAAACUUCUUGAAUCCAAAUUACAUUGUUUUCCCGUGAACACCUUGUGCUAACUUAAGCAUCGGAGGGUUUACGCCGGCAAAACCACCGGCGUCUCUGAUCCGUUUUUGCUGAACGCAGGUCUGGUGAGAGAGGGAAGGGCGAUUCCAACCCCAGUGGUUCGAGUGACAGUUGAUAACACAAACGUUGGUGAUAGAAUCUGGUCGGUCCAAGGGCGAGCAGAUUUCAGCAUCAACAGUGUAUUCAAAUAUGGUAAUAUGCUGUCGUUGAGGAAAUUACCACCAAGAUUUAAGAUCUUCAGAUGUCUCAAACUCCCAAAGCUGUCGUAAGCUUCAAAUGCAUAUGAAUUACUAUCAUUAAUUAGUCACUGACAAAAUAAUUAUGAAUGAGUAAUAUAUACAUAUGCUUGUACCUUUAUUCUCAUAGAAGUCAAGGCACUGCAAUUCUUCGAAAGGGUGAAACAAUGACAUAUUCAGAAGAGAAACUUCAUAAGAAUAAAAGAGUUAUAAUCAGAGUAGUUGAUUUUUUUUUUCUGAUUGAGUGAGAGUUGCGUCACCCGUCGGGUGGUGGCGUUGCACUUAACUCUCUCCCAAUCGUUACAACAAUCAGACGACAUUCCAUCAUCAUCAAAUCAUGAAGAAAGAACUUCGUCAUCAUAUCCAACAUCACUGGCUGAUGCGAAGAAGCUCUUGAUUUCCAACAGAGCAAUCCUCUCUGUUUCCAAGCAUGCUUUGUAUCCAUGUAACUGAAUCAAAGCUAUGCCAAUCCACAAUGACAACUUCAUCAAAAGCAUUUUCAUUAUUAAUAGUAACUGCAAGAGAAACACUCACAAGAUUUACCUGUCAAUUGUUGCUCUCUUGAAUUUUUUCUGGUUCUCUAGCAAAUAUAUGACUUAUAUAUACAAUGGAAAUUUUGUGCAGAAUGAAAAUUUUGCGCAUUUUCACGUGCCCUGUCAAUGAGAAAACAUGCAUUGAUUGAAAAAAGUAAGUGAGAGAAUAUUACCUGUUGAUACAUGUUAUCUACUUGUGAAAUAAUUGAAGAUGCAAAAUGGUUGAUUUCACGGGCCUGGCCUUUGGCAAAGUGAAAUGUUAGCCACACACUUUUACCAGUCCAGUGUCAACAUUUGUAGCAUAAGGAAAUUGCGGCAUCUCAGCUGGAUUUUGAGGGUCGCUAUUUCGUAUAUCAGUCCCAUUAUUUGUUAGUGGGGACUCACACUCUGUCCUAUAAUGGGCUCACAAAUAUUUAACAUAAUUUUGAUAAUUACUUAAACCGCGUGUCCUUGAUAAUUAAAGAAAAAGAGAAGUGAAUGCAGUAAAAGAUACUGAUGGCCGUAAUUAUGCAAAUAAAUACAAGACUUUACAGUAGAUUAGACCACCAAUUGUGCUUUUUCGUCCAAUAAUAAUGCAUCUGCUUUAGCACGAUACGAGUGAACUUAGGCUUAUCUUUCUUUCGCAAUGUAAAUUCUUGCCAAAAAAUACAUGUUAUCUACUGGUGAAUUAGUUUGAUAAAAUAAAGGCUUAAAGUUUAGUUGAGUAAAAUGUUGGCGUAAAGAAAUUAGCUACUGGAAAAUCACCAAAUGCUUGUUAAGGUAAUAUACAAUUGCAAUUGAACAUCAAGUGAUGGAAACAUCAAAAACCCCAUAAAAAAAUUAAACAAAACCAGUUGCAAUGCAAAUAAACAAGUUUUCAGUUAAGAUGGCAGAACUAAUUCCUUCACAAUCAAGUGUGGUUUCUCAAUUUGUUCUAUUUGCCCAAAAAGACAUGGUCAAGUAUCUGAAAGCAUUUUUAUUUAGUUGACUAUUCGAGUUUGAAUUUGGAAUAAGAGGUUAAAAAAUAAGUUUUGUCUUUUCUCACCCCUUUUACCUUUAGAAAAAAAAUUUAAUUUUUGGUCAAGCUGACUUAAGUGCAUCAUGUGCAAAUCACGUGACAUCCUGAGCUACCAUGUAAUUUGGCUUUAUAAGUGUUUUCUGUUUCUGAAAACAAAAAAUAAUAAAAUGGAAAUGCCUUUAGCUUUUGGCUAGACAUUUUCAGAAACGUUUUUCGUGAACAGAAAAAGUUUUUGUAAAGAGGCAUUGAGCGGUCAGGCGCUUGUCGUGGCCUGCGGCCUGCAGUCCUCAACAAUCCUCAUCUGGCCUCUUUAUAAUCCACUUUUAAUAAAAUAUAGAUAAAAAUAGAAAUAUUACUGAUUUCUAGCACAUCAUUCAAAUUAGUUGCUAUUGUAUAUCUAGCUAGUUUUGAACAAAGUAAGUGAGAAUAUUACAUACAUCUGCUUUAGCAAGAUACGAGUGAAUUAAAACAUUUGACCAGAUGAAAGAGAGAAAAGAAUGUUGAAAUAUUGACUUGAAUAUUGUGGUAAAAUGAGUUUGACUUUAGUACCGACCAAAGAAAUAACUGAAGAUGCAAAUUAAUUGGUUAGUUUGAGGUGCAUGGCUAUUGGCAAAGUGAAAUGUUAGCUUUACACUUCACUUGUGAAUGUACAACAACAUUUGCUGCAUAAGGAAAUUGCGGCGUCUCAGCCGGAUUAUGAGAGUUGUUUUCAAAUCCCAUUUCUCUUCUUCGUAUUUGUUCAUUGCCACAACAUUUGAUGCAAAAUUUGAUGACUACUCAAACGCGUUUCCGCAAUAACUAACGAAAGAAAAAGCGAACGAAUAAGCAAGAGAUACUGAUGACAGUAAUCAUGUAAAUGAAUACAAGGCUUUACAAUAUGCUUUCUUUCACAUGUAAUCUGCUGGUGAAAUAAUUUUUAUAAAACAGAGGCUUAAAGUUAAAGCUGAUUAAAAUAUUGGCGUCGAGAACGCUACAUGGAAAAUUCAACCGUGAGCUGCAGUCUGCAGUCCCCAACAAUCCGGGAAAAGGUUGAGGAGGCGCGCCCCUGCACAUUAAUUUGGCAGGUCUGAUGGGAUUUAUAAAUUAAAAUAAUGUAAUUUUAUAUAUUUUUUAAAUGAAAAAUUCAUUGAUGCCGCUGUGCGAUCCAUUGGAUCCUCGCGUGUUGGCUCCACAAGAGUUUCUCCCUAACAAUCUCCAUCAAAGCUCUUUAUAAUCCAUUUUUGAUAAAAGGAUACAUAUAUUUAUUCAAAUAUUAGUAAAAAUAGAUACAAUGCUGAUUUUUAAAUUAUACUUAAAUUAUACUUAAUGAACAUUUAGACCGACCUGUAAAUCUAUGAAUUCAAACUUCCACAACACCAUCAAUUAUUUUUAGCCUGCAUGUUACAUAUAUUUAUUCAAUUAUUUUUAGCCUGCAUGUUUGAUUGUGCUUCUGUUCUAUAGCUUCGUUAUGUUCAUUGAUAUUUUGUUGUUGUGCAGUAGUACCCAGUGUUCUUGAUAUCGCAAUCAUCACCCCAUAUGAAUCACAAGUUGUUCUCAAGGUAUACAUUUAUACUUAUCAUUAAUACUUUUUUGUUUUGCCCUCACCAGCUAUGAUUAGCAUAUUAUUUUUUAAAACUUUAUAAAUAUAAAUGAAUUAUUAAUUAAUCAUCUUUUUUUUUUAAUUGAAAUUUGCUCAAAGGGCAUCUCCACUGACAAGAUACUUGAUGUGAAAAAAUUGUUGGCUUCCAAUGUAGAAACUUGCCACCUCACAAAUUAUUCUCUCUCUCACGAGGUAUAUAUAUUUUAUUAUCUCUCCCCUUUUUUUUUUAAAUUAUAUAGAUUAUGAAAUUUCAUUUUAAAUUAAUGAAAAUAAGUAAAAUGGCUAACUUAGGUUUUGUUGAAGGCUGUAAAUGGUAGAUCGGAUGUCGAUAAGGGAUGGAGCCGCUGCCGACGAGGGCUGAUGUUGCCACCGAUGAUGGGAGUUUCUUCGGUUUGGGAGAGAUGGGUGAAAGAGAGUGUUGGGGGAGAAAUGAGAGAGAGGGGUAUUUUGGUCUCAAAGGUUCUUUUAUGGCUAUUGUUGAUAGAAAUUUGUUUGGGGGGUUAAGAUGGAAAAAAUCAAAACUUUUAUGGUUAUUGGUGUAAAUUUCCCUAAUUUUCAACCAACCGUAAAUUUUAAUCUAUUAAAAAAAUUAGUUGGCAGACAUGUAAACAGAGCAAGAAGGUUUACAGAAGUGUAUUAUUUUAGAAUUAGUAACUUUUUCAUGAAUAAUUAAUAUGAUUAGAGUUUAACAAAAUUAUAUGUAAAGGCUUGUUUAAAGAGUGAAAAUUUUAUUUUUUUCUCAUUUUUUAGUGCUUAUAAUUAAAAUUUAAUCUAGAAGUAUUUUAAUUAUAAAAAAAUUAUUUUCAAAAAUAAGUUUGACGAAUAGUUUAGUGCUAAAAUAAUAAAAGAAAAUAAUAGUUUAGUGCUAUAAUUAUUUUCUACUUAUAAUUAAGUUAAUAUUUAAUAGAAAGAACUAAAAUAAUAAAAGAAAAAAGAAUUUGCCCGGCAAUUCCUUGUUAUUUACAUUUUUGGCACUGUCCUUCGCAGAGGAAUACACCGAGGAAUCUCAGGCCGUGGCACACGUGCGGCAGCUUCUCGACAUCGUCGUGUGCACCACAUGGUUCUCCAAGUCCAGAAACUCCCGAUUGCCGCCACCGUCAGAGUCAUGUGCCAAAAAGAACGGCAGUAGGCCCCACCCGCCUUCACCAAACUCUGCCGCUCUGUCUGAUGGAGCAGCAACAGCAGCAGCAGAUAACCGAAGCGGGCCCCGCGCCACGUCAUCGCCAGUUUCAUCGGCGGUUUCUCCGAGUCUGGACAUGGCGACCAUUCACCCGACGCCGAAACUCUCCGAGUUUUAUGACUUCUUCUCUUUCUCUCACCUCACUCCCCCCAUCUUAAGUAAGCCUAAUUUUCAUUUAUUUAUUUGUCUUCGUUUCUUACAUGGUUGAUCAAAAAAAAAAAAAAAAAAAGAAAGAGGAAAAUGAUAUAAAUAUAUGUGAUUUAUUUGAAUAUGAAAUUUGUUUAUUGAUUUUAAUUUUUAAUAAUUUUGAUUUUGAAGAUUUGAGAAAAUGUGAACGCAAAGAAGGAGAGAAGCGCGACGGUGAUUAUUUUGAAAUUCAGGUACCAUUUAAUAUAAAGUUCUGAUUAUUGUUGUUUGUUGUUUGGGUCGAUCAAAAAAAAAAAAAAAAAAGAGGAAAUGAUAUAAAUAUAUGUGAUUUAUUUGAAUAUGAAAUUUGUUUAUUGAUUUUAAUUUUUAAUAAUUUUGAUUUUGAAGAUUUGAGAAAAUGUGAACGCAAAGGAGAGAAGCGCGACGGUGAUUAUUUUGAAAUUCAGGUACCAUUUAAUAUAAAGUUCUGAUUAUUGUUGUUUGUUGUUUAUGGACUAAUUAAUUGUAGAGUUAUUCAACUUGUUAUUUUUGCUGAUGAAUUGGCCAAUGAGUGUUAAAGAUUUAAUAAUCAUUGUCCGCCAAUUAAUAAGAAUGCAUGAAUUAUUUUCAUGUCUUCGUAAGUAAUGUGAGUAUUUGAAAGCGUGGGAAACUGUAUUUUGUGCUCACAGAUAAAAAUCUGCAAUGGAAAGCUUAUACAAGUAGUUGCAUCAGUAACAGGGUUCUAUACUUUGGAGCCAAUUGCGCCCGGUACACCUCCAUACUUCAAAAAUUAUCUCAAUACCCUAAAAUCAGUUUUUGCCGAAAUUUUCAUUGAUACCCUUUAAAAACGGAUAGGAAAUUACUAAGCUAUCCUCAUUUUAAAACAUUUCAACUCAACGGACGGCACUUCUCCCUUCUCUACUGAAGCAAACAAACACUCAUCUGCUGCAAUUCCCUCCAUUAUCAAACUCAAACAAACAAACACUGCAAUUCCCUCACCGGCAUCACCUCUGCAAUUCCCUCACCGGCAUCACCUCUACAGAAACAAAUAUUCAUUCUCCAUACAUGGUAAAUCGAACUUCAACACGAGUAAACUAAGCUUGAGAAGGGGAAGCUGCCACAACUGAGAAAGAGAAGCCUAGUUCGUCGCUACAUAAUCGCCGGCGAGAGCGGAUCCUUUACUGUAAAAUAGUCAUAAUUUAACUAGUUGAGGUAAGUAAUUCUCUAUAAAUAGUUUUCUUGUUGAUAUUCAGGGGAAAAAACAACAAAAAGUUAGGGUUUAUAUAGAAAAAAUAGAUUAAUUAGUUGCGGGUCUCUCAUUACAUGUUCAAAAACAAAUUUUUAGUUGUUUUACUACAUGCAAAUUGUGAAAAAUUGAUGGAUUGUGCCGAUUAUAAUUUUGUCAUGUAACACACAAUUUGGUCGUGUAAGGUUAUGUAGGAUUCAAGGUUGUGUAUUACACGACCUUCAUGUAUUGCACUUACACGACCUUCAUGUAUUACACGACCUCAAAAUUACACGACUUUUUUCACUGUUGUUAAUUCAUUAUAAUAACUUAGUUGUUUAAAGACUUAAUUUUUGCUAAGAAUUUAUAUUUGUUGCUAUGCAGAAAAUGUCAACGAAAAGUAUUCAGGAAAAAAUGAAAUGUGGCAAACCGAAAGCUGAAAAUUACUAAUUUGUCAUCGUUAGAACCAAUAAGAAUAAUGUGAAGGUUCAUUUUGUUAUUAUUUUUAACUAAGUAUGUUAUUAUUUUUAACUACGUACAAAUUGUGUAAAGUUAUUAAUAUUUGCUGCUGUGCAGAUUCUGACAACAUUUGAUGAUAACCCGAGUAUUGCCACACUUGCGACUGUGUUUUCAACUAGCCUUUGAUUUAAGAGUUGUUUCUAAUUGAUUUCAUGGAUUUAUUAUAUGCAGGCAUUCCUCAUGUAUGCAUGUAUGCUUCGGCAGAGGAAGAAAGCAGUUUGAAGAUAAAAAAAAAAAAAAAACUUUUUAAAUGGUUGUAAUAUGUUUAAUUACGAUAUCCAUUAGUGUAUCAUAUCCAAAUAUUGACAUUGUAAACUGAUAACUUUGUUUAUUUAUAAUAAUUAAUCUCAUCAUUUCUCAAAUUGUCGAAUAUGCAAUUUUUUUUUUUUUUGCUGUAAUUUAUGAACACACGAUUUGAUCUACGUUCAAAAGUAAUGCAAAGCGGGUUUCUAAACUUCAUUCCACUAGCUACUUCCUCUAAGAAAAAUUCCACAUCAUCAUUGGUUUGAAUUGUAACUGGUGGCAUAGGAUCAGAUGUCUUAAGUUUGAACUUCAUUGUGAUUUCGAAUUCCGAAGUAUCUAUAUCAAUAACUUCAACUAUCUUCUCCAUCAAUUCGGCAUAUAUUGUCGAUCGUGGUAUCAUUAUCCCUUUAGCCUUGAAACCUUUGAACUUAUACUCGUCAUUUUGCUCAAUUCAUUCACCAUUGAAGAGAAUAGCUUCAUGUAUUGCACUUACACGACUUCAUGUAUUUCACGACGUUCAUGUAUUACACGACCUUCAUAUACUACACGACCUCAUGUAUUACACGACCUCAAAAUUACACGACUUUUUUUACUGUUGUUAAUUCAUUAUAAUAACUUAGUUGUUUAAAGACUUAAUUUUUGCUAAGAAUUUAUAUUUGUUGCUAUGCAGAAAAUGUCAACGAAAAGUAUUCAGGAAAAAAUGAAACGAGGCAAACCGAAAGUGAAAAUUACUAAUUUGUCAUCAUUGGAACCAAUAAGAAUAAUAAAAAAUAACCUUAGUGACGUACAAUUGGGGAUUUUUCGCAAAUCAUGUUUUGGGCACUUUUUGGACUUGAAUGAGUUUCAGUUUUGUGCCCAGUUGUUGCACAAGUUGGUAUUAAGGCAUAUGCAUUCAUCCGAUAAGGCAAUGUAUUUUAAGAUAGGGAAAAAAGUUUGUCGAUUUUCAAUGUUUGAAUUUGCAUUAGUUACUGGACUGAAUUGUGAAGAAAUUUAUAAACCUAACUUGGACAUUGUUGAUGACGGUGGUCGUGUAUGUGAUGUUUUGUUGGACGGUUGCACAAAGUUCACUAACACAACGCUAGGUCAGAUAUUUGAAGCAACUAAGUCCAAGGAUGAUAUGAAAAUGGUUAAAUUUGCCAUGUUGUACUUUUUGGAGGUUGUAUUACUUGGAAAAGAAUAUAGAUCAUCUAUAAUUAGGGAUCACAUUCUCCACAUUGACAACUUUGAAGAUUUCAAUAAAUAUCCUUGGGGCCGUGUCUGUUUUGAGAACACAUUAGAAAGUAUGAAGAAUGUGAUUGCAAUUAGACAGAAUAGAGAAAGGGCAAAUCCAGACUAUGUCCCUGAAAAGGAGGCAUACAGUCUUCAUGGCUGUCCAUUUGCAGUUCAGGUAACAAAUUGUCAAUAUUGGUUUCGUAGAGAUUAUUAAGAUUAGGAAUAUUAAUUAUUUCUUUUACUUGCACAGGUAUGGGCACUUGAAAUUUUCAGUGAAGUGUGUGAAACUUUUUCCUCGAAAUGUAAGCAUGUCAAAUAUCCAAGAAUUCUAAAUUGGACAAUCACUAAACAUGUUAGCUCUAAUUCGCUUGACUAUUCCAUAUUUGAUAAGAAAAAGGUAAUAACAAACAAUCUAGAUCGUUAGUGUCUUUCUUUUUUUCUUUUUAAUUUAUCUUUGACAUUUAUUAAUUGGCCUAAUUAUUACAGCUUAAGGUACUAGAGAAGUUGGAUGUCGCUGAUGAAAUAGAGGCAUCACAGCCUAAUCUACAAUGGUUUUGGCAAACAAAUUGGCUGCAACAACUUGAAAAUGAUUUUCUUGUUGACUCAAAGAGUAAAAAAUCAGCCACUCCAGUCUCAGAACAGAAAAGUAGCAGUGUUGUGCAGAAAAAUUCUGUGGCCAUGGAAGUUAAAGAGACUAAUAAACGUGCGAAGUGUCAAGUUAUGUCCAUGAAAUGCAAAACGAAUUAUGAACAUGCAAAUUCUGUUGAGGACAAAACUGUAAGUUUUUUUAAUCUUUUAAUAACAAUUUCAUUUUUCAAUUUUUUUUGUUUGCCUAAUAGGCUCUGUCUUGUUCUGCUUGUAAGGGUAAACGUCCUGGUUACAUUGAUAAUUUGAUUUCUUUUAUCGAGGACAAGUUUAAUUGUUUGGAUAAGCGUCUCAAAAAGAUCGAAGAGAAGGUGCAGAAAAUUGACUCAUUGGAGGAGAAUACAGGUGAUGUGAGGGAGAUGAGAGAACAAGUCAAUAAAAUUGUAGACUUAGUGGAGUUCCUAAAUUCAGCGGACUACAAUGUGAAGGUUCAUUUUAUUAUUAUUUUUAACUAAGUAUGUUAUUAUUUUUAUCUAAGUACAAAUUGUGUAAAGUUAUUAAUAUUGCUGCUGUGCAGAUUCCGACAACAUUUGAUGAUAACCCGAGUAUUGCCACACCUGCGACUGUGUUUCCAAGCUUCACCACAAAUGCAGGCAUAGUCAAAGAGGAUCCAAUAAUUAUUCCGUCUACACAGCAAGAGGUGAAAAAAUAUGAAAGAAAAAGGCGAUCUCGAAAGGAUGCAGCUGUUUUACGCACGCCAUCUACUAACCCAUUUCGAAAAUCGCGACAUGUCAACGUCGAUGAAGCAAAACAGCAAGUUCAGUUUGAGCAUUGGCUGAAGGAGGAUAAUAUGGAACCGUAAUUCCUUAUUUCUCUUUGUAAACUUACUUUUAUUUGAAACAAUAUUUCUUGGUUGACUAUAACAAGUAAUAAGUUUUACUCAUAUUUUCUUGGCAGAAGAUUUGGUUGGUCCCUGAAAGAUGAGUUUCAGCAUUUGAGAAAGAUUUCAAUUCUACGUGGGCUUUGCCAUAUAAGGUACUGUCUUUUCGGUUCCUUUGGCAGCCGAUUAUUUUCAAAGCUUGAAUUUUGCUUGUAAACUUCACCCAGGUUGGGUUGGUGUUGGUUCCCAGAGAUUAUGAUAUGGAAUGCCCAAACCCAUUCACGAGAGAUGAUAUUGUCAGCAUGGUUCCUGUGUGCAAGGUAAGACUAUUUUCUCUCUUAAUUGUGUUUUGAUUUAGUUUUUACAUUCUCAAUGAGUCACUCAUUUGUAAAUUGAAUGUAAUUGUGCUAUUUUUAUGGCAUUCUACAGCAUGUAGGUUGCACUUCAGCCGAUGGACGGACCUUAUUAGAGUCAUCCAAAAUUGCCCUUGAUAAAGGAAAACUAGAAGAUGCUGUAAAUUAUGGGACAAAGGUAAUAACCCACUCGAUCUAUACGUAAGAAUUACAUUAUUCUUUUCAUAAUAAGGCAUCUCUUGAUCUCAUAUGAUGUAUUACUUGCAUUGUAAGGCACUGGCAAGGAUGAUAGCUGUUUGUGGUCCCUACCGUCGGACUACUGCAAGUGCUUACAGUCUUCUAGCUGUAGUUCUCUACCAUACUGGAGACUUUAAUCAGGUAUGACAAUCUUCAAUUGUAUUUCAGUGUUAACUUGGUGAUUCUAAGUCUAGUAUAAUUAUAACGUCCUUCUGUACGGGGGUUCUCAUUCAUCGGGACAUUUGAUUUGAAUUUUUGUAUGUUAUGGUUAGUUUUUAUGGUCUUGUAUAAAGAUAUGCAUUAGGAAUUAUAAUUUUCUGGACUUAGGAAUUACAUGUACAGGCAUUAGCAUAAUUUUGAUAUCAGAUUAUAUAUUUUAACUAAAUCAAACACGUUCAUGAUUCUUAUGUUCCAGCAUUUCGUCUAAUGGCAUCUGCGUCUGAGUGUUAGAGUAGUGUUCGUAUGUACUCAAGAUAUCUUCUUCUUCAUUUUAGGCAACUAUAUAUCAUCAGAAGGCAUUGGAUAUUAAUGAGAGGGAACUUGGUCUUGACCACCCAGAUACAAUGAAAAGCUACGGGGAUCUUUCAAUUUUCUAUUAUCGCCUUCAACACAUUGAAUUGGCUCUUAAGUGAGUAGCACUACUUGAUUUACCGGAGCAACUUUGUUUUCAUUCUUUAACUGAUUAAGGUUUAUUUAUUCAUAAAUUAAAUUGGAAGUUUCGAAAAAUGUGACCUUUGCAUUGAAUCUGCUUCGAACGAAUGCAGUUUUUAUCUACCUACUUUAGCUUUUAUUUGUCUUUUAUUGGCUCUAGCUCCUGAUCAUACCGUACCAUUGGCAGAUAUGUAAAUCGUGCCUUAUUCCUUUUGCAUUUUACUUGUGGACUUUCACAUCCAAACACUGCUGCAACAUACAUAAAUGUGGC